AGUGAACGCUGGCGGUAGGCCUAACACAUGCAAGUCGAACGGCAGCACAGUAAGAGCUUGCUCUUACGGGUGGCGAGUGGCGGACGGGUGAGGAAUACAUCGGAAUCUACUUUUUCGUGGGGGAUAACGUAGGGAAACUUACGCUAAUACCGCAUACGACCUACGGGUGAAAGCAGGGGAUCUUCGGACCUUGCGCGGAUGAAUGAGCCGAUGUCGGAUUAGCUGGUUGGCGGGGUAAAGGCCCACCAAGGCGACGAUCCGUAGCUGGUCUGAGGGGAUGGUCAGCCACACUGGAACUGAGACACGGUCCAGACUCCUACGGGAGGCAGCAGUGGGGAAUAUUGGACAAUGGGCGCAAGCCUGGUCCAGCCAUACCGCGUGGGUGAAGAAGGCCUUCGGGUUGUAAAGCCCUUUUGUUGGGAAAGAAAAGCAGCAGGUUAAUACCCCGCUGUUCUGACGGUACCCAAAGAAUAAGCACCGGCUAACUUCGUG
This 492-nucleotide ribosomal RNA is filed under the name uncultured bacterium. Its description in RNAcentral is "partial 16S ribosomal RNA". It matches the Rfam family "Bacterial small subunit ribosomal RNA", at positions 29 to 507 of the family's 1533-position model. The record is from RNAcentral.